This 253-nucleotide ribosomal RNA is filed under the name uncultured bacterium. RNAcentral describes it as "partial 16S ribosomal RNA". It matches the Rfam family "Bacterial small subunit ribosomal RNA", at positions 524 to 776 of the family's 1533-position model. The record is from RNAcentral.
UACAGAGGUCCCAAGCGUUGUUCGGAUUCAUUGGGCGUAAAGGGCGCGUAGGCGGCGGGGUAAGUCUGGUGUGAAAUCUCGGAGCUCAACUCCGAAAUUGCACUGGAUACUGCUCUGCUAGAGGGCUGGAGAGGAGAUCGGAAUUCACGGUGUAGCAGUGAAAUGCGUAGAUAUCGUGAGGAAGACCAGUGGCGAAGGCGGAUCUCUGGACAGCUCCUGACGCUGAGGCGCGAAGGCUAGGGGAGCAAACGGG